CGAGGGACAAGUGUCUCAACGA
RNAcentral lists this non-coding RNA (22 nucleotides) under Arabidopsis thaliana (thale cress). Lineage: Eukaryota; Viridiplantae; Streptophyta; Magnoliopsida; Brassicales; Brassicaceae. The record is from RNAcentral.